GGCUCAGAUUGAACGCUGGCGGCAUGCCUUACACAUGCAAGUCGAACGGCAGCACGGACUUCGGUCUGGUGGCGAGUGGCGAACGGGUGAGUAAUGCAUCGGAACGUGCCAUUGAGUGGGGGAUAACGUAGCGAAAGUUGCGCUAAUACCGCAUAUUCUGUGAGCAGGAAAGCAGGGGACCGCAAGGCCUUGCGCUCUUUGAGCGGCCGAUGUCAGAUUAGCUAGUUGGUGAGGUAAGGCUUACCAAGGCGACGAUCUGUAGCGGGUCUGAGAGGAUGAUCCGCCACACUGGAACUGAGACACGGUCCAGACUCCUACGGGAGGCAGCAGGUGGGGUAAUUUUGGACAAUGGGGCAACCCUGAUCCAGCCAUGCCGCGUGAGUGAAGAAGGCCUUCGGGUUGUAAAGCUCUUUCGGCCGGGAAGAAAUCGCAUGGGCCAAUACCCUGUGUGGAUGACGGUACCGGAAUAAGAAGCACCGGCUAACUACGUG
RNAcentral lists this ribosomal RNA (491 nucleotides) under uncultured bacterium. Its description in RNAcentral is "bacterial SSU rRNA". It matches the Rfam family "Bacterial small subunit ribosomal RNA", at positions 21 to 507 of the family's 1533-position model. The record is from RNAcentral.